RNAcentral lists this ribosomal RNA (538 nucleotides) under Sclerotinia sclerotiorum. Its description in RNAcentral is "eukaryotic LSU rRNA". The stretch from base 191 to 344 matches the Rfam family "5.8S ribosomal RNA". Lineage: Eukaryota; Fungi; Ascomycota; Leotiomycetes; Helotiales; Sclerotiniaceae. The record is from RNAcentral.
GUAACAAGGUUUCCGUAGGUGAACCUGCGGAAGGAUCAUUACAGAGUUCAUGCCCGAAAGGGUAGACCUCCCACCCUUGUGUAUUAUUACUUUGUUGCUUUGGCGAGCUGCUCUUCGGGGCCUUGUAUGCUCGCCAGAGAAUAUCAAAACUCUUUUUAUUAAUGUCGUCUGAGUACUAUAUAAUAGUUAAAACUUUCAACAACGGAUCUCUUGGUUCUGGCAUCGAUGAAGAACGCAGCGAAAUGCGAUAAGUAAUGUGAAUUGCAGAAUUCAGUGAAUCAUCGAAUCUUUGAACGCACAUUGCGCCCCUUGGUAUUCCGGGGGGCAUGCCUGUUCGAGCGUCAUUUCAACCCUCAAGCUCAGCUUGGUAUUGAGUCCAUGUCAGUAAUGGCAGGCUCUAAAAUCAGUGGCGGCGCCGCUGGGUCCUGAACGUAGUAAUAUCUCUCGUUACAGGUUCUCGGUGUGCUUCUGCCAAAACCCAAAUUUUCUAUGGUUGACCUCGGAUCAGGUAGGGAUACCCGCUGAACUUAAGCAUAUC